CCAUUUCCCUCCUAUUUUUCCCUUUUUCCCUCCCUCGUUCUCUCUUGCUUCACUCCUAAAAUCUCUACAAACAAAAAUCCCCAAAUCAAAACCCCAAAAACAGAAGCUCUGACUUCGAUAACUUCUCUCUUGCUUCACUCCUAAAAUCUCUUGCUUCACUUCCCAUGGAUUUAGCUCACCAGCAACGACUUCGACGAAACCUUCAUUCACGUGAUCAAUCGAAGCCCUAGCUCAUCUUCACUGGUCAUUGCAUGAGAUCUCACCGUUGCAAGAAAAUACAACCGCACCAGAUGCUUCUAAGCAUAAUUGUCUGAUGUCCGUUGGAAAGAAAUGAAAGGAUUAGAAAGAUGAGCUUAAAAGAACUACUUAUAACUUAUAUGAUAAUGAUGAAGACCGUUUGGCGAAUUGUCCGAAUAGGGUCGAUCCUGAUCAAUGGAGAGUUCUUGUGCAAUUUUGGGGCACUAAAUCAGCCAAGAGACGCAGUAAAACCAACCAUAAAAGUAGACACGAACAGAAAAUGGGACACACGAGUGGGAGGAAGGGCCAUUGUCGUGUAAGGGAUGAGUUGACACAGAUUAAGGAUGGAGUAGUAGUAGAGCUCAAUCGUAUAUAGGUAUUCAUUAAGACUCAUACAAAGAAAGAUGGACAACCAGUUGAUGAAGCAUCAGCUUUGGCCAUACGUCGUCUUAAUGAGGGAGCCUCUCAGAUUACUGAGUCCUCAGAGUCACCUGCUUUACGGGAGGAGUUAUUCACUAGCGUACUAAAACUAGAUAGGAAUGGACGUGUGCGUACCUAUGGCUUGGGUGCUUGUCCAAGUCAAGUGUUUGGGACUAGAUAUACCAGAUCUCAGGAGUAACAUGUCAAGGAUCAGUUACGUACGGAGUUGUGUGCUGAGUUGGGUGCAGAGUUGCAUCCAGAGUUGCGACAAGAGGUGCUAAGAGACGUAAGUGAUGAAAUCACUCAAUUGAAGAACCAAUAUGCAACCGUGGCAGCUUAUAUGAAAAGUGUAGGAUACCCUUGCCUCCAUCACCAAAAUGGAGCUGGAAAUGGAGAUGGAGAUCACACAUCGUCACUAAUGGAGCACAAUGGACAGGUUGAUAGGACAUAGACAAACAUGGAAGACAUGCAAUAGGAAUGACGGAAAAUCUUCUUGAUAAUGAAAACUGUUUUUGUUCUUUUUGUUUUGGAGUUCACAACCAAAAGCAUGUUUUGGUUCUUUGUGUUGCUUUGGUUAGUAUGAUCUUUUGUUUUUGGAAAUACACAAGCAAUUGGAACUUAUAUUUUGACACUUUGGGUUUUAUUUUCACAUUGGCAUUCUAUGCCUCGCAUUGUUAUUUUUUGUUGCUUUGAGAAUUGUCUUUUACGAUGUCCAAUUUGCUUAUAUACGGAAUUUGCAUUUUGGUUUUGGUAGUGGAACUUCAAAAUUGUUUUGGACAGUUACAAUUUUGUAUGCAGGAAAUGUGUUAUCAAAAAUGGUACUAGGUUAGGAUAAUUUGUUAAUGAAAAAAUCAUGUAUUAAAAAUGAAAAUUGCCAAAAAAAAAAAAGAAGAACUUUUAGCAGCGAUUUACAAAUGCCGGUAAAAGCAAUGAAAAGAAAAUACCAAGAUAU
This is a long non-coding RNA of Rhododendron vialii, 1609 nucleotides long. RefSeq lists it as uncharacterized. The record is from RefSeq and is a predicted model, not a curated record. NCBI's taxonomy places the organism in Eukaryota, Viridiplantae, Streptophyta, Magnoliopsida, Ericales, Ericaceae. The transcript has 6 exons.